Molecule: long non-coding RNA, 1539 nt
Filed under: Homo sapiens (human)
Lineage: Eukaryota; Metazoa; Chordata; Mammalia; Primates; Hominidae
Description: HSALNT0386064
Source: RNAcentral
CUAGGGUAUACUAGGGUUCUAAAGCUCUGUGACAUCAUCAUGAGUCUCAGAAAUGGCCAGAAUGUUCCUUGCUGCAGAUGCAUUGGCCCCAUCUGCAGGUCCUCUUUGACACCUACCUUACUCUCUCCCUCCACUCACACUCUGAGAACUGUGCUCAGGGGCAGCGCUACAACUUCCACAUUGGUCUUUACAGGGCUUGAGUGAUUAUUUCAAGAACAGAACGCUGUGUGGAAACCUUUACCAUAUUUCGUUGUAUCUAAGACACAUUUUUUUUUUUUGAAAUUUAACAUCUCUAAGGUUGGGUUAUGUUUCUUCAUCAUUGUCAGGUUGGAGCUUAAUCAGCAGCACUUUUUUUUAAUGUCACACACAGUAAUGGUGAUGCAUCUCACAAUUGAGAUCAUCUUAGACAUGAUGGAAUAUGGAAUCGUGUGCCUGUUACAAGCCAGGCUCUUGUCUGGGUUCUAGAGACGGUGGAAACCAAGACAGCACCAUCCUCUAGUGGUGUUCACAUCCCACCACAGUGGAGUCAGGACUUUGAAGUCCUCCAUUGGAUCUUCUCGGAAGAUGAGGGAAAUGAGAGAGUGUGGAGAGAGAUUUUGUAAGUCCGGUCUGGAAGUGGUCAUUGUUCAGAAUCCAGCCACGUGGGUACAUGGAACUGUAAGAAUAUGUUCUGUGGACACUACAGAUGCAGAUUAAAUCACCUGCAAAGUGAAUCUGUCAGCCCUAACAAUAAGAAUAGCUCUUUUAUGAUGAGCAGGUGAGACCAGGUAAUUACCGAAGAAAGAGAGUGAUGUGUUCAUUGAAGUCUACUCAUGGAGGAAAGAAGGCUAUUUCAACAUGGGAAACUGAAAUCGGGCAUAUCCCUGCGGAAGAAGGGCUCUGAAUUCUAAUUUUUCCCUUCAGUAUGAUAAGACUACCAGAAGCUUAGCUCAGCUUCUCUGCUCUCAGCCACUACUUGUGAAUCAGCUAAAGACCUUGAGAAGAAAGCAGACUGAAUGUCGAGCACACUCCUUGUACUUCCCUUUUCUCAAAAAUCUUAGCCCCUCAAGUCCUUGCAGACAUGGUAGCUCUCUCACGCCUUCAAACCAAAUCAAUCGAAUAUUUUGUCUGGCUUUUCUAGUUGCCCUUGGCUAAUGGAUUGUUCUGCAAAAAACAAGUCUAUCAUUACAGCCUGCAGGCCAUAUUAUUACAUGGGAAAAGCAAAUUACAAAAGAAUAAGUAGGGUGUGAUUCUAUAUUCAUUAAAAUAAAAAUAUUGAUAAUUUGUUAGAAAAUGCUCAGGAAUGUAAUCUGAAAGAGGAGUCACCUAAUCAUUUACAUUGGUUAUGCAGUAUUUCAUUUCACUUCCUAUGCUAUGUAUUUUUUGUAAUGUUUGGACUCCAGUUUUCAAUAAAGAUAUAUUUCAUAAUAAGAGGAAAUUCAUAAGGUCAUUUCCAAAAGUUGAAAGAAAUAAAAAAGGCAUAACGAAAUAGCUGGAAAGUGAGUUUAUCCUUAUCUCUGUGUCCUAAUUUGGGAAAGCCAAACUUACAGAAUAUCCAGC